Molecule: ribosomal RNA, 558 nt
Filed under: uncultured organism
Description: bacterial SSU rRNA
Rfam family: Bacterial small subunit ribosomal RNA
Source: RNAcentral
AGGCUUAACACAUGCAAGUCGAGGGGUAGGCUUCUUCGGAGAGCACACGACCGGCGCACGGGUGAGUAACGCGUAUGCAACCUACCUUUUUCAGGAAGAUAGCUCCCGGAAACGGGAAUUAAUAUUCCAUAUUCUAUAUAUAUUGCCUGAUAUUGUAUAGUAAAGUAUUUCACGGAAAAAGAUGGGCAUGCGUGUCAUUAGCUAGUUGGUGAGAUAACAGCUCACCAAGGCGACGAUGACUAGGGGUUCUGAAAGGAUGAUCCCCCACACUGGUACUGAGACACGGACCAGACUCCUACGGGAGGCAGCAGUGAGGAAUAUUGCGCAAUGGAGGCAACUCUGACGCAGCCAUGCCGCGUGCAGGAGGACGGCCCUAUGGGUUGUAAACUGCUUUUCUUAACUAAGAAGGAUGGAUAUUUAUAUUCAUUUGACUGGUUCUGGAAUAAGCAUCGGCUAACUCCGUGCCAGCAGCCGCGGUAAUACGGAGGAUGCAAGCGUUAUCCGGAUUCACUACGUUAAAAGGGUGCAUAAGCGGAAGGAUAAGUCAGUGGUGAACUC